UGUCCCCAGCUGUGUGUCCAUGAAGAGUGACCAGUCCAUGGGUAAACUAGUAAACUUUGGAGGACACUCCUCUGAUCAGAAUCCACUUGAUGUGAAGAGGCCAGACUCCCCUGUCCCCAGCUGUGUGUCCAUGAAGAGUGACCAGUCCAUGGGUAAACUAGUAAACUUUGGAGGACACUCCUCUGAUCAGAAUCCACUUGAUGUGAAGAGGCCAGACUCCCCUGUCCCCAGCUGUGUGUCCAUGAAGAGUGAUCAGUCCAUGGGU
Long non-coding RNA from Engraulis encrasicolus (European anchovy), 265 nucleotides. RefSeq lists it as uncharacterized. The record is from RefSeq and is a predicted model, not a curated record. NCBI's taxonomy places the organism in Eukaryota, Metazoa, Chordata, Actinopteri, Clupeiformes, Engraulidae. The transcript is spliced from 3 exons.